UUUAUUUUUCCGUGUCUAACGUUUGACCAUCUGUUUUAUUUAAAUUUUUUUAUGAUUAAUAUUUUUAUUAUUACUAAAUGAUAAAAUAUAAAUAAUACUUUAUACGUGACUAAUUUUUUUAAAUUUUUUUACAAAUUUUUUAAAUAAGACAAAUGGUCAAACGUUGGACACGAAAAAAC
RNAcentral lists this microRNA precursor (179 nucleotides) under Oryza brachyantha (malo sina). RNAcentral describes it as "MIR812 microRNA precursor family". It matches the Rfam family "MIR812 microRNA precursor family", at positions 19 to 190 of the family's 205-position model. Lineage: Eukaryota; Viridiplantae; Streptophyta; Magnoliopsida; Poales; Poaceae. The record is from Rfam by way of RNAcentral.